Molecule: ribosomal RNA, 416 nt
Filed under: uncultured bacterium
Lineage: Bacteria
Description: bacterial SSU rRNA
Rfam family: Bacterial small subunit ribosomal RNA
Source: RNAcentral
AACGAACGCUGGCGGCAGGCCUAACACAUGCAAGUCGAACGGGACAACAUCUGUAGCAAUACAGGUGUUGUUUAGUGGCGAACGGGUGCGUAACACGUGGGCAAUCUGCCGAGAAGUGGGGGAUAGCUCGCCGAAAGGCGAAUUAAUACCGCAUAUGAUCAGCUAAGACAUCUUAGCGACAUCAAAGCCGGGGCAACCUGGCGCUUCUUGAUGAGCCCGCGGCCUAUCAGCUAGUUGGUGAGGUAACGGCUCACCAAGGCGACGAUCAGUAGCUGGUCUGAGAGGAUGAUCAGCCACAUUGGGACUGAGACACGGCCCAAACUCCUACGGGAGGCAGCAGUGGGAAUAUUGGACAAUGGGCGCAAGCCUGAUCCAGCCAUGCCGCGUGAGUGAUGAAGGCCCUAGGGUUGUAAAGC